This is a small nuclear RNA of Sciurus vulgaris (Eurasian red squirrel), 105 nucleotides long. The record is from Ensembl. NCBI's taxonomy places the organism in Eukaryota, Metazoa, Chordata, Mammalia, Rodentia, Sciuridae.
GCUCAAUUCAGCUGCACAUAUACUAAAAUUGGAACAAUAUAGAGAAAAUUAGCAUGGGCCUGCACAAGGAUGACAAGCAAAUUCAAAAAUAAAUAAAUAAAUAAU